Molecule: ribosomal RNA, 491 nt
Filed under: uncultured bacterium
Lineage: Bacteria
Description: partial 16S ribosomal RNA
Rfam family: Bacterial small subunit ribosomal RNA
Source: RNAcentral
ACUCAAAUGAAUUGACGGGAAAGAGCACAACCAGGGGAGCAUGUGGUUCAAUUCGAGACGAAGCGAAAGACCUUACCCAGAUUUGACAUGCAAUCGUACAUUGUUCUGGAAACAGGACGAAAUUCGCAAGGAUGAUUGCACAGGUGUUACAUAGCUGUCGUCAGCUCGUGCCGUGGGGUGUCUACUUAAGUGUAGAAACGAGCGCAACCCCUACUCCGUGUUCAUUAGUCACGGGGGACUGCCCCGCUUACAGCGGGGAGGAAGGAGGGGAUGACGUCAAGUCAGUACGAUCCUUAUAUCUGGGGCCACACACAUCCUACAAUGGGAAGUAACAAUGGGUUGCCAAGCCGUAAGGCGGAGCUAAUCCCAUCAAACCUUCCCUCAGUUCAGAUUGGGGUCUGCAAUUCGACCCCAUGAAGCCGGACUUGGUAGUAAUCGCGGAUCAGCAGGCCGCGGUGAAUACGUUCUCUCUUUUUGUACACACCGCCCGU